This is a long non-coding RNA of Lutra lutra (Eurasian river otter), 1055 nucleotides long. RefSeq lists it as uncharacterized. The record is from RefSeq and is a predicted model, not a curated record. The transcript is spliced from 3 exons. Lineage: Eukaryota; Metazoa; Chordata; Mammalia; Carnivora; Mustelidae.
AGCCCUUUAGCUGGAUGGAGUCCAGUGUCCAGGAGAGACUGACUAGACAAUGACCCCCCUCUUCAGUGGAACUCAGCACGGAAGGGCUACCAUCUUCAGAAGAGGACAGCAUCCCUUUCCCCGGUUCUCUUUGUGCCCACCUUGCCCUAACAUUGAGCCUCCACAUCAUCAGCUGCAAAGCGGGGGUAAUACAAGUUCACUGCCCUAUGAGGGAGGACUGGUGUUCUUCCCAUCUUACAGAAAGAAAGAAAGUGGCAGCCCAGCUGGGACAAAUCCAAGCAGCCCACCAAGACCCGCAAGGACCUGGAGACACGGUGCGGCAGGCACACGUGCAUUCUGCGGGGUACCAGGGGGCCAGCCGCUCCCCAGCAGGUACAGUGGGAUGUCAAGCAAGGGGAACCUGGAGGCAGGUGCCUCGGGUUGAAUGCCACGUCUAUGGGAUCUUGGGAAGUCACUUCACGUGUUUUCCUUGCCUGUAAACGGACGACUCUCAGAGUAAUGAAACAUUCGCCUCUGCGGUUAACAGGGGUACUUGGCCCCAAAUAAACAGCCACGAACAAGGGACAUGGAAGGCGUUGAAAAGGAAGUUGUAGACAAGCUUUGUGGCGUAGAUACAAAACAAAGAGGGGAAAACUGGAAAGUGAUGGAAGUGAUCUAUUAACUAGGGAUCUUCAGAUAUCACUGGAGACAAAAGCAAUCCACCAAGGUGGGAAAAUCAAACCCUCAAAAACGGUGGCUCUGACAAGAUGGGGCAGAAGGAGACAAGGCUGGGGUCACAGUCAAGGUUAGGACAGUGUUUUCAGUCUUGCAAUAUGUGAAGGUAAUCAAGAAUUUUUUAUUUUUUUUCCCAGGAAACUGAGAAUUCUUUAUUCCCACUAUAAUGUUGUUUUUUUUUUUAUGAAUGAGAGAGUAUUGUUCUUCUCCUUUCACGAAAGAGAAACAUUUCUCAGUCACCAAGUUGAUAAGUUGUAAAAAUCCUUUGGUUUUGUGUACUCAAGUCCUAUUCUGCCCUCAAAGCAUCUGGAUUUUCAGUGCUGCUGGUGGACAUGAAAUGA